AAACUUAAAUGAAUUGACGGGGACCCGCACAAGCGGUGGAUGAUGUGGUUUAAUUCGAUGCAACGCGAAAACCUUACCCACCUUUGACAUGUACGGAACUUUGCCAGGAGAUGGCUAGUGCUCGAAAGAGAGCCGUAACACAGGUGCUGCAUGGCUGUCGUCAGCUCGUGUCGUGAGAUGUUGGGUUAAGUCCCGCAACGAGCGCAACCCUUGUCAUUAGUUGCUACAUUCAGUUGGGCACUCUAAUGAGACUGCCGGUGACAAACCGGAGGAAGGUGGGGAUGACGUCAAGUCCUCAUGGCCCUUAUAGGUGGGGCUACACACGUCAUACAAUGGCUGGUACAAAGGGUUGCCAACCCGCGAGGGGAGCUAAUCCCAUAAAGCCAGUCGUAGUCCGGAUCGCAGUCUGCAACUCGACUGCGUGAAGUCGGAAUCGCUAGUAAUCGUGGAUCAGAAUGUCACGGUGAAUACGUUCCCGGGUCUUGUACACACCGCCCGUCACACCAUGGGAGCGGGUUCUGCCAGAAGUAGUUAGCCUAACCGCAAGGAGGGCGAUUACCACGGCAGGGUUCGUGACUGGGGUGAAGUCGUAACAAGGUAGCCGUAUCGGAAGGUGCGGCUGGAUCACCUCCUUUCUGAC
RNAcentral lists this ribosomal RNA (640 nucleotides) under uncultured Comamonadaceae bacterium. RNAcentral's name for it is "bacterial SSU rRNA". It matches the Rfam family "Bacterial small subunit ribosomal RNA", at positions 897 to 1533 of the family's 1533-position model. The record is from RNAcentral. Lineage: Bacteria; Pseudomonadati; Pseudomonadota; Betaproteobacteria; Burkholderiales; Comamonadaceae.